RNAcentral lists this ribosomal RNA (236 nucleotides) under uncultured bacterium. RNAcentral's name for it is "partial 16S ribosomal RNA". It matches the Rfam family "Bacterial small subunit ribosomal RNA", at positions 100 to 334 of the family's 1533-position model. The record is from RNAcentral.
CGGCACGGGUGAGUAACACGUAUCCAACCUGCCGUCUACUCUUGGACAGCCUUCUGAAAGGAGGAUUAAUACAAGAUGGCAUCAUGAGUUCACAUGUUCACAUGAUUAAAGGUAUUCCGGUAGACGAUGGGGAUGCGUUCCAUUAGAUAGUAGGCGGGGUAACGGCCCACCUAGUCUUCGAUGGAUAGGGGUUCUGAGAGGAAGGUCCCCCACAUUGGAACUGAGACACGGUCCAA